AGUGAACGCUGGCGGUAGGCCUAACACAUGCAAGUCGAACGGCAGCACAGUAAGAGCUUGCUCUUACGGGUGGCGGGUGGCGGACGGGUGAGGAAUACAUCGGAAUCUACUUUUUCGUGGGGGAUAACGUAGGGAAACUUACGCUAAUACCGCAUACGACCUACGGGUGAAAGCAGGGGAUCUUCGGACCUUGCGCGAUUGAAUGAGCCGAUGUCGGAUUAGCUAGUUGGCGGGGUAAAGGCCCACCAAGGCGACGAUCCGUAGCUGGUCUGAGAGGAUGAUCGGCCACACUGGAACUGAGACACGGUCCAGACUCCUACGGGAGGCAGCAGUGGGGAAUAUUGGACAAUGGGCGCAAGCCUGAUCCAGCCAUACCGCGUGGGUGAAGAAGGCCUUCGGGUUGUAAAGCCCUUUUGUUGGGAAAGAAAAGCAGCAGGUUAAUACCCCGCUGUUCUGACGGUACCCAAAGAAUAAGCACCGGCUAACUUCGUG
Molecule: ribosomal RNA, 492 nt
Filed under: uncultured bacterium
Lineage: Bacteria
Description: partial 16S ribosomal RNA
Rfam family: Bacterial small subunit ribosomal RNA
Source: RNAcentral